UACGGAGGGUGCAAGCGUUAUCCGGAAUCAUUGGGUUUAAAGGGUCCGCAGGCGGUCUUAUAAGUCAGUGGUGAAAGCCUACAGCUCAACUGUAGAACUGCCAUUGAUACUGUAAGACUUGAAUUCGAUCGAAGUGGGCGGAAUAUGACAUGUAGCGGUGAAAUGCUUAGAUAUGUCAUAGAACACCGAUAGCGAAGGCAGCUCACUAGGUCUGGAUUGACGCUCAGGGGACGAAAGCGUGGGGGAGCAAACAGG
Molecule: ribosomal RNA, 255 nt
Filed under: uncultured bacterium
Lineage: Bacteria
Description: partial 16S ribosomal RNA
Rfam family: Bacterial small subunit ribosomal RNA
Source: RNAcentral